UUAGUCCAUAAGGAAGUGCUGCUGACUCUUUUUGAAUUUGUUGGUUCUCAUUUGCCUGCAGCUUAAAACAAUACCAUGCCAGAGUGGAGCAUUCUUGUGGCCCUGCCUCUGGACACCGGCCACAUGACCAUAUGCAUUACUUUUACAUCUCUGAAGAGCAGUGAGAGGCUUCAUACCAAACGAUAUGAUUUUGCAUCUUUCCGGGUCUCACUGAUGAACAAAGAUGACCUACUGAGAUUUAAUCAGUUAUACUCUGAAAGCAUCUGUAAUGUUGAUAACUUAACCCAGAAUGGAAAAUCAACAACAGAGUCCUUGAGCUCAAAAAAUAAUUGAAUCUAACUCCCGAGUCUUCCCGAGAUGUGGGGAGAUUUCGUGACUUGAGUAAAUAACAAGUUGCCCUCUGGUGUGGCAGUCCAGUCCCUGACUGAGGGAGCAGAAGCCAGGAGGCCUGCAGGCUCUGCUGCACUUGGGUGCAAAUCACAUUAGCCCGGAAAACAAAGUUCAGUACUGACGAAUUCAGUAAACAAAGCAGCCUUUAGAAAAACAGGGGCAGAGAAAAGCUGGAAAACCCAAGGCCCCUGCAUUUGAAAACUCUGCAGACUUUGCUCCCUGGCCACAUCCCUCAGCAGUUGCAGGACCGAAGGACGGACCUAAACUCUUCACCUCUGCCUUCCGCAGAGGGCGUUCGGAACUGCUGGCCUGCAUCUCCCAGCACCUGUAGGAGCUCUGUCCACUACCAGAGCUGACCUAUGGUGUGCUCUCCAGAAGGAAUGAAUGAGCUUCUUUUUGCUGUUUUUCCUCAUGAGAACAUCAGGAAAAGGUUAAUGUAAAUGUAUUCUUGAAAAGUCACAAUGCUUCCCCCUGGGAGAUGGAGACAGGUACAACAGAACACAGGCGGGAGCUCAGAAACCACGGUGCAUGCAGCCCGAGGACCCUGUUGAAAGGAUCUUGUUGCAUCGGCAGCUCCUUUCCUCCACUUCAGUCACAUGCACCCCCUCCUGAGCUCCUUUCUCCCUGGGCCCGCCCUGCACAGCUGUAUCUUUGCUCCAGUCCCC
This 1055-nucleotide long non-coding RNA is filed under the name Fukomys damarensis (Damara mole-rat). RNAcentral's name for it is "lncRNA (ENSFDAG00000031271.1)". Lineage: Eukaryota; Metazoa; Chordata; Mammalia; Rodentia; Bathyergidae. The record is from RNAcentral.